This 699-nucleotide ribosomal RNA is filed under the name uncultured bacterium. Its description in RNAcentral is "bacterial SSU rRNA". It matches the Rfam family "Bacterial small subunit ribosomal RNA", at positions 28 to 699 of the family's 1533-position model. The record is from RNAcentral.
AAUGAACGCUGGCGGCGUGCUUAACACAUGCAAGUCGUACGAGAAAUCCUCUGCUUGCAGGGGAGAGUAAAGUGGCGCACGGGUGAGUAUCGCGUGGGUAAUCUACCCUUGAAUUCAGGAUAACAUUUCGAAAGGGGUGCUAAUACUGGAUAACAUCCUGAUGGUUUCGGCCAUAAGGAUCAAAGAUAGCCUCUACAUGUAAGCUAUAGUUCAGGGAUGAGCCCGCGUACCAUUAGCUAGUUGGUGGGGUAAGAGCCUACCAAGGCAACGAUGGUUAGCUGGUCUGAGAGGAUGAUCAGCCACACUGGAACUGAAACACGGUCCAGACUCCUACGGGAGGCAGCAGUGAGGAAUUUUGCGCAAUGGGGGAAACCCUGACGCAGCAACGCCGCGUGAGUGAAGAAGGCUUUCGGGUCGUAAAGCUCUGUCAAGAGGGAAGAAAGUGGGGGAUGGUAAUACUGUUUUCUAUUGACGGUACCUCUGAAGGAAGCACCGGCUAACUCCGUGCCAGCAGCCGCGGUAAUACGGGGGGUGCAAGCGUUAUUCGGAUUUAUUGGGCGUAAAGAGCGCGUAGGCGGUUUAUCAAGUCAGAUGUGAAAGCCCUGGGCUCAACCUGGGAAGUGCAUUUGAAACUAGUAGACUUGAGUAUGGGAGAGGGGAGUGGAAUUUCUGGUGUAGAGGUGAAAUUCGUAGAUAUCA